AAGCUCGUAGUUGAAUUUCGGGACCAAUUUGUUGGUCGUGCCUCGGUACGUACUGGUAUUAUUGGUUUCUCCCUUCUGAAGAACCUUGAUGUCAUUAAUUUGGUGUCUUGGGGAAUCAGGACUGUUACUUUGAAAAAAUUAGAGUGUUUAAAGCAGGCAUACGCUUGAAUACAUUAGCAUGGAAUAAUGAAAUAGGACGUUUGAUUCUAUUUUGUUGGUUUCUAGGAUCGACGUAAUGAUUAAUAGGGAUAGUUGG
This 256-nucleotide ribosomal RNA is filed under the name uncultured Glomus. Its description in RNAcentral is "partial 18S ribosomal RNA". It matches the Rfam family "Eukaryotic small subunit ribosomal RNA", at positions 624 to 885 of the family's 1831-position model. The record is from RNAcentral. Lineage: Eukaryota; Fungi; Glomeromycota; Glomeromycetes; Glomerales; Glomeraceae.